Non-coding RNA from Durio zibethinus, 1671 nucleotides. NCBI's taxonomy places the organism in Eukaryota, Viridiplantae, Streptophyta, Magnoliopsida, Malvales, Malvaceae. The record is from RefSeq and is a predicted model, not a curated record.
GUACGACGCUGAUCCAUAUUAUCAAGCUUUGGAUAAUAAAGUUAAGACUCAUGCUGCUACAGCUGGAGUCGAGGUUUUCUCUCCAGUGAGUCAUACACUCUUCAAUCCUGCAGAUAUUAUAGAAAAGAAUGGGGGAAGGCCACCACUGAGUUAUCAGUCCUUUUUAAAGCUUGCUGGGGAACCCUCAUGAGCAUCUUCACCACUUUUGGUUGACCUUCCUUCAAUUCCUCCUGUUGAAGAUGUUGGAAGUUGUAAGAUUUUACACGUUCCAACACUAAAGGAACUAGGGUAUGUGGAAAAGGAUCAAGUAUGGAGCUAUCAAUGUUUCAGAAAUGUAGCUUUGUUUUAAAGAAAUCUUUAUAAAAAAGGGAUUCCUUGUGCAAGAUGAAUUAACUCCGUUUAGAGGUAGUGAAUUUGAAGCAUUGAGGAGGUUGAGAGAAUCACUAAGUGACAAGGUAAUAUAUGCCUUCUAGGCCUGAGUAUGAAUUAGUGAUAGCAAUAUAAUGGCAUUCAAGUUUUAGAAGAGGCAUCCUUUCGUAGGAUGGUGGAAUUGACAAAGUUUUCAAUUCAAUUUUCAACCGCUAUUAUUUACCGUUGGUAAUACAUAAUGUAGAUAAAUGAUAGAUUACAGUGUCCUUUGUAGAAUUAUUUUGUGGUUUUGUGACGGCCAUGGAAAACUUUUGGUUAACUUUCUUCUUUCUUUUUAUUUUAAAAUAAGGGCUCGUGUUAAUUUCUAACUGAGUUCCGUGUAAUAAAAUUGAAUCCAUUUGAGUUGACUAAUUAAGGUAGUAAUGAAAUGUAUGAUGAGAAGAGGUGCAUAUGUUAGGUUAGAUAAGUCUCAUGAGCUUAAGUUGGUUUGGGUAUAUGAGGCUUGUGAAAUGUCUUGCUUGCUUACAAGUUUCUGAUGUAGUCUAUCAAUCUGAGGAGAAAAAGUUGGCCGCAUUCCUGUUAUUGUGAUAUCUCUCAUCUCUUUGAGAGGAAGUUAUAAUUUUUAAGUGCCUAGCAAGAAAACAUAAAUAUGCUUCUGGUUAUAAUUGUGAUUAGUCCAUCUGUAUUUUUCCUUCUAAUGGCUUUGUUAGGACAGCUAUAAGUUCCUGCUGAAAUGUGAAAUCUCCUCUGGUUUGUCACUAAAUGACCUGAUUUCAUGCAAAAUACUUUCACUUAUCUUAUUGGUUUUCCCUUUUUUUUUUUUUUUCUGGUAAUCUUUUUUAAAUUGAGUUUCAGUUGAAAUCCAUACACAAUUUGAUAGCAUCCAUCAUCAACCAAAAAUAGUGAAUUUGAAAUAUUAACUAUUUCUUAUAUUCUGGUUACAAACUGAUAGAAACUUUUUUAUUUUCCGAUGCCUAUUUUAUUGUUACUAUGAAACUAAUUAGAGGCUUUGUUCCGCUUGGCUCUGACUGAUGCUUGCUUUACCGAACAUGUUUUUGGGUGGAGUGGACACUAGCGCAUUUACUGUGAACUGGGCAAUGGCAGAGCUGUGUAGAAAGCCAAGAUUGAUGAAAAAAGCACAAAGAUAAAGUUCGAAGCAUUGUGGGAAAGAAAUGAAGAGUAACAGAAAGCGAUCUCGAUCAGUUUCAAUACCUCAAGAUGGUUAUAAAAGAAAUUCUAUUGCACCCUCCUGCACCACUGCUGAUUGCCAGAAAAGCCAUGUCACACUUCAAAAUCAAUGGU